GACGAACGCUGGCGGCGUGCUUAACACAUGCAAGUCGAACGAUGAUGCCCAGCUUGCUGGGCGGAUUAGUGGCGAACGGGUGAGUAACACGUGAGUAACCUGCCCUUGACUUCGGGAUAACUCCGGGAAACCGGGGCUAAUACCGGAUAUGAGCCGUCCUCGCAUGGGGGUGGUUGGAAAGUUUUUCGGUCAGGGAUGGGCUCGCGGCCUAUCAGCUUGUUGGUGGGGUGAUGGCCUACCAAGGCGACGACGGGUAGCCGGCCUGAGAGGGCGACCGGCCGCACUGGGACUGAGACACGGCCCAGACUCCUACGGGAGGCAGCAGUGGGGAAUAUUGCACAAUGGGCGAAAGCCUGAUGCAGCGACGCCGCGUGAGGGAUGAAGGCCUUCGGGUUGUAAACCUCUUUCAGCAGGGAAGAAGCGCAAGUGACGGUACCUGCAGAAGAAGCGCCGGCUAACUACGUGCCAGCAGCCGCGGUAAUACGUAGGGCGCAAGCGUUGUCCGGAAUUAUUGGGCGUAAAGAGCUCGUAGGCGGUUUGUCGCGUCUGGUGUGAAAACUCGAGGCUCAACCUCGAGCUUGCAUCGGGUACGGGCAGACUAGAGUGCGGUAGGGGAGACUGGAAUUCCUGGUGUAGCGGUGGAAUGCGCAGAUAUCAGGAGGAACACCGAUGGCGAAGGCAGGUCUCUGGGCCGCAACUGACGCUGAGGAGCGAAAGCAUGGGGAGCGAACAGG
RNAcentral lists this ribosomal RNA (734 nucleotides) under uncultured Cellulosimicrobium sp. RNAcentral describes it as "bacterial SSU rRNA". It matches the Rfam family "Bacterial small subunit ribosomal RNA", at positions 28 to 776 of the family's 1533-position model. The record is from RNAcentral. Lineage: Bacteria; Bacillati; Actinomycetota; Actinomycetes; Micrococcales; Promicromonosporaceae.